AGCCACAGCCAAAUCACCCUGCAGCCCAAGACCGGUUACUCACUGAAGCUAAGCAGGGCUGAGCCUGGUCAGUACCUGGAUGGGAGACUACAUGGGAAAGCUAGGUUGCUGUUGGAA
Molecule: ribosomal RNA, 117 nt
Filed under: Danio rerio (zebrafish)
Lineage: Eukaryota; Metazoa; Chordata; Actinopteri; Cypriniformes; Danionidae
Source: RNAcentral